Molecule: ribosomal RNA, 263 nt
Filed under: uncultured bacterium
Lineage: Bacteria
Description: partial 16S ribosomal RNA
Source: RNAcentral
CUGCUGCCUUCCGUAGGAGUUUGGGCCGUGUCUCAGUCCCAAUGUGGCCGUCCACCCUCUCAGGCCGGCUACUGAUCGUCGCUUUGGUAGGCCGUUACCCUGCCAACUGGCUAAUCAGACGCGGGUCCAUCCCAUACCACCGGAGUUUUUCACACAGGAGCAUGCGCUCCCGUGCGCUUAUGCGGUAUUAGCACCUGUUUCCAGGUGGUAUCCCCCGGUAUGGGGCAGGUUACCCACGCGUUACUCACCCGUCCGCCACUAAG